This 479-nucleotide ribosomal RNA is filed under the name uncultured bacterium. RNAcentral describes it as "bacterial SSU rRNA". It matches the Rfam family "Bacterial small subunit ribosomal RNA", at positions 38 to 536 of the family's 1533-position model. The record is from RNAcentral.
GAUUAACGUUGGCGGUGUGCCUAAUACAUGCAAGUCGAGCGCCUGUAGCAAUACAGGAGCGGCAGACGGGUGAGUAACGCGUUGGUAGCUCCUCUGAAGUCAGGGAUAACUUUUAGAAAUAAAAGCUAAUACCGGAUGGUCCCGCAAGGGUAAGUAGCAAUACGCUUCAGAAAGUGCCUGCGUCCUAUCAGCUAGUUGGUGAGGUAAUAGCUUACCAAGGCUUUGACGGGUAACUGAUCUGAGAGGAUGAUCAGUCACAAUGGAACUGAGACACGGUCCAUACUCCUACGGGAGGCAGCAGUAAGGAAUCUUGCGCAAUGGGCGAAAGCCUGACGCAGCGACACCGCGUGGAGGAUGAAUGGCGUAAGCUUGUAAACUCCUUUUCUGAGGGAAUAAUUCUGAAGGUACCUCAGGAAUAAGCAUCGGCUAACUACGUGCCAGCAGCCGCGGUAAAGUGCGCGAGUCUGGGACUGCCAAGG